This 635-nucleotide ribosomal RNA is filed under the name Anguina tritici. RNAcentral's name for it is "SSU rRNA". It matches the Rfam family "Eukaryotic small subunit ribosomal RNA", at positions 1003 to 1664 of the family's 1831-position model. The record is from RNAcentral. Lineage: Eukaryota; Metazoa; Nematoda; Chromadorea; Rhabditida; Anguinidae.
GGCGAUCAGAUACCGCCCUAGUUCUGACCGUAAACGAUGCCAACUAGCGAUCUGCCGGUGGAAUUUUUGCCCUGGUAGGGAGCUUCCCGGAAACGAAAGUCUUCCGGUUCCGGGGGAAGUAUGGUUGCAAAGCUGAAACUUAAAGGAAUUGACGGAAGGGCACCACCAGGAGUGGAGCCUGCGGCUUAAUUUGACUCAACACGGGGAAACUCACCCGGCCCGGACACCAUAAGGAUUGACAGAUUGAUAGCUUUUUCAUGAUUUGGUGGAUGGUGGUGCAUGGCCGUUCUUAGUUCGUGGAGCGAUUUGUCUGGUUUAUUCCGAUAACGAGCGAGACUCUAGCCUACUAAAUAGUGUGCACAUUGCUUCUGUGUUGCAGUACUUCUUAGAGGGAUUUUCGGUGUACAGCCGCACGAGAUUGAGCAAUAACAGGUCUGUGAUGCCCUUAGAUGUCCGGGGCUGCACGCGCGCUACACUGGCGAAAUCAGCGUGCUUGUCCUUUCUCGAAAGAGAUUGGUAAACCAAUCAAAAUUUGCCGUGAUUGGGAUCGGAAAUUGCAAUUAUUUUCCGUGAACGAGGAAUUCCAAGUAAAUGCGAGUCAUCAACUCGCGUUGAUUACGUCCCUGCCCUUUGUA